GUUGAAUUAACAUCUGGGAUAUAUAUAAAUAAGCCAUAUACUCCUUUAAUUGCUACAAAAAUAACCAAUUUUAUUUUCUUUUCAUUGUUUAAGCACAAUGUGCAGAGCACUGUCAUCUAAACGAUGUUUUGCAAAAUGCACUGACAUGUUCUGAAAUAAUGUCAUUGAGUAUCAGCUAAAAUUAAGACAUAAAGGGCUUCAUUAAUAGCGUCAACAAUGAUAAAAUCUAACCCCAAUCACACAACUAAAGCAAAAGACAAGCGAAGGUACAGGAUUUCAACAG
Molecule: unclassified non-coding RNA, 283 nt
Filed under: Hevea brasiliensis (rubber tree)
Lineage: Eukaryota; Viridiplantae; Streptophyta; Magnoliopsida; Malpighiales; Euphorbiaceae
Source: RNAcentral